CCUACGGGGGGCUGCAGUGGGGGAUAUUGCACAAUGGGGGGAACCCUGAUGCAGCGACGCCGCGUGGGUGAAGGAGCGUUUCGGCGCGUAAAGCCCUAUCGGCAGGGAAGCAGAUGACGGUACCUGACCAAGAAGCCCCGGCUAACGACGUGCCAGCAGCCGCGGUAAUACGGAGGGGGCAAGCGUUAUCCGGAUUUACUGGGUGGAAAGGGGGCGCAGACGGCAAUGCAAGACAGGAGUGAAAGCCCGGGGCCCAACCCCGGGACUGCUCUUGUAACUGGCUGGCUGGAGUACGGGAGGGGCAGGCGGAAUUCGUGGUGUAGCGGUGAAAUGCAUAGAUAUUAGGAAGAACACCGGUGGCGAAGGCGGCCUGCUGGACUGUGACUGACGUUGAGGCCCGAAGGCGUGGGGAGCAAACAGGAUUAGAUACCCUUGUAGUC
Molecule: ribosomal RNA, 440 nt
Filed under: uncultured bacterium
Lineage: Bacteria
Description: partial 16S ribosomal RNA
Rfam family: Bacterial small subunit ribosomal RNA
Source: RNAcentral